GGGCCUGUAGCUCAGGUGGUUAGAGCACACGCCUGAUAAGCGUGAGGUCGGUGGUUCGAGUCCACCCGGGCCCACCA
This 77-nucleotide transfer RNA is filed under the name Tistrella mobilis. RNAcentral describes it as "tRNA-Ile". It matches the Rfam family "tRNA". From Rfam's summary of the family: Transfer RNA (tRNA) molecules are approximately 80 nucleotides in length. Their secondary structure includes four short double-helical elements and three loops (D, anti-codon, and T loops). Lineage: Bacteria; Pseudomonadati; Pseudomonadota; Alphaproteobacteria; Geminicoccales; Geminicoccaceae. RNAcentral also lists the same sequence under 1 other name. The record is from RNAcentral.